CUGUGGAAGAGACCGAUCUUGCAACAGGCCUGAGGGCGCAGGGGUUAGUUUCUGAAGCCGGAGAAUCAACGCUGGGUCCUUCCCUAACACUGAAAUACGUUCCAGAUGGGUUAAAGGGGUCCGUGUGGCAGAUGACAAGGCGAAGGGCUCUGAAGGAAGUGUGGGUGAGGACGUUUACACGCUGGGGGUGAGAAGGCUUCUCUGCUGCAGGACGCGAGCCAGCAAGCAGGAGGGAGCCCUCACCUCACCUCGGGGAGGCCUGUGGCUCCCACCAGAGGUGCUAUACGUGGGCAACCUUGGUGGCUCUGAAGGUCACCUCCAGAGGGGAACAGAAGAAUCUCUGUAAUUCCCAGCAACGCAGCCCUUCCUGCGCCCCCCCGGGCUCUGGGCCUCCAGCAGCCCUGCGAUGAGCCCCCGCGGAGCCUGCCUCCCCCCGACAGGGGACCCAGAUUCAAAGAAGUUAAGCAACCGAGAGCUUGGGUCCGUUAAGUACAAAAAUAACAACCGUAUUCUUAGAAGGAUCAUCUACUUACAACAAAAGAAGUCAAAUGGCAAACAAAUCUGAGGCAGAAAAAGGUUACAAUCCACGUCCAUCCAGGACACGGACAUUCAGAUGGCGGCCCGGCACGGACAGGUGUCAGACCAUCUUCUAGAACUACCUGCCGGGGUGCAGACACCCCUCCGUGUAGCCAUCCAUGCAGCCAUCUGUCCAGACAGACGGAAGGUUGAACCCGAGUCCUCAUCCAUGUCCCCACCUGCAGUCCAGCACCUCACGGGUCGGUC
Molecule: long non-coding RNA, 783 nt
Filed under: Mustela putorius furo (domestic ferret)
Lineage: Eukaryota; Metazoa; Chordata; Mammalia; Carnivora; Mustelidae
Description: lncRNA (ENSMPUG00000029842.1)
Source: RNAcentral